RNAcentral lists this ribosomal RNA (497 nucleotides) under uncultured bacterium. RNAcentral describes it as "partial 16S ribosomal RNA". It matches the Rfam family "Bacterial small subunit ribosomal RNA", at positions 28 to 507 of the family's 1533-position model. The record is from RNAcentral.
GAUGAACGCUGGCGGCGUGCCUAAUACAUGCAAGUCGAGCGAACGGACGAGAAGCUUGCUUCUCUGAUGUUAGCGGCGGACGGGUGAGUAACACGUGGAUAACCUACCUAUAAGACUGGGAUAACUUCGGGAAACCGGAGCUAAUACCGGAUAAUAUUUUGAACCGCAUGGUUCAAAAGUGAAAGACGGUCUUGCUGUCACUUAUAGAUGGAUCCGCGCUGCAUUAGCUAGUUGGUAAGGUAACGGCUUACCAAGGCAACGAUGCAUAGCCGACCUGAGAGGGUGAUCGGCCACACUGGAACUGAGACACGGUCCAGACUCCUACGGGAGGCAGCAGUAGGGAAUCUUCCGCAAUGGGCGAAAGCCUGACGGAGCAACGCCGCGUGAGUGAUGAAGGUCUUCGGAUCGUAAAGCUCUGUUAUUAGGGAAGAACAGAUGUGUAAGUAACUGUGCACAUCUUGACGGUACCUAAUCAGAAAGCCACGGCUAACUACGUG